Molecule: ribosomal RNA, 476 nt
Filed under: uncultured bacterium
Lineage: Bacteria
Description: partial 16S ribosomal RNA
Rfam family: Bacterial small subunit ribosomal RNA
Source: RNAcentral
GAUCAACGCUGGCGGCGUGCAUAACACAUGCAAGUCGAACGAUGAAGCUUAAAAGAUUUCUUCGGAAUGAACUUAAUUGGAUUAGUGGCGGACGGGUGAGUAACGCGUGAGUAACCUGCCUUGUACAAGGGGAUAGCCGUUGGAAACGACGAAUAAUACCCUAUGACAUCAAAUAAUCGCAUGAUAAUUUGAUCAAAGAUUUAUCGGUAUAAGAUGGACUCGCGUCUGAUUAGCUAGUUGGUAGAGUAAAAGCCUACCAAGGCAACGAUCAGUAGCCGGCUUGAGAGAGUGUACGGCCACAUUGGGACUGAGACACGGCCCAGACUCCUACGGGAGGCAGCAGUGGGGAAUUUUGCACAAUGGGGGAAACCCUGAUGCAGCGACGCCGCGUGAUGUAGAAGGCCUUCGGGUUGUAAAAAUCUUUUGUAUGGGAAGAAAAUGACAGUACCAUACGAAUAAGGACCGGCUAAUUACGG